UCGCUCACUUCUAUAGCACAUACACUAAAAUUGGAAUGAUUAGAAUGGCCCCUGUGCAAGGGUAAACCCAAAUUUGUGAAGCAUUCCAUAUGGUG
This is a small nuclear RNA of Gorilla gorilla gorilla (western lowland gorilla), 95 nucleotides long. The record is from Ensembl. NCBI's taxonomy places the organism in Eukaryota, Metazoa, Chordata, Mammalia, Primates, Hominidae.